This 532-nucleotide long non-coding RNA is filed under the name Junco hyemalis (dark-eyed junco). RNAcentral describes it as "lncRNA (ENSJHYG00000004084.1)". The record is from RNAcentral. Lineage: Eukaryota; Metazoa; Chordata; Aves; Passeriformes; Passerellidae.
GGGUUAUUCUGUCUGAAUAAUCUGGUAUUAUUAUCUGUGUGGUCACAGCAGCACAGGAUUCUGGGGGGCUCACAGGUGUCCAGGCACUGCAAAGAAGUGUCACUAUAACCAGAUACACAAACAUCAAGGCCCAGCCUUCAAGACCCUGUGGAGGUCCCCUAGACCUCCUCCCUCUGCAAGAGAAGCCGGUGCCUGAAGCUCUGGACCUUCCUACUUGUCAUCCAAAGUGGGAUUUCCAGCCUUGUGAGGAGGGUGGGCAGCUCGUGUCCAGCACAGAGACCAUGUGGGCAGAUGCUUUCUUCAGAAGAAAAUAAUUUGGAGAAUGUUGAGGAAGAGAGGGAAAGUGCAGGAGAAACGGAGAGCUGGAUUCUCAUCUAACGGAGGACCUGCAUCUGCUUCUCUGUUGGAUGUAGCAGGUAGUACAAGAAAACCCCCAUAACACUUUAUGUCUGUAGUGAAGCAAUGCACCAAAAGACAUGCUUUAAUGCUUCAAAUUCAGCACCCCUGUGAACUCCAAUCUCACAGCUGCUCC